Molecule: ribosomal RNA, 403 nt
Filed under: uncultured bacterium
Lineage: Bacteria
Description: bacterial SSU rRNA
Rfam family: Bacterial small subunit ribosomal RNA
Source: RNAcentral
AUUGAACGCUGGCGGCAUGCCUUACACAUGCAAGUCGAACGGCAGCACGGGAGCUUGCUCCUGGUGGCGAGUGGCGAACGGGUGAGUAAUACAUCGGAACGUACCCUGAAGUGGGGGAUAACGUAGCGAAAGUUACGCUAAUACCGCAUAUUCUGUGAGCAGGAAAGAGGGGGAUCGCAAGACCUCUUGCUUUAGGAGCGGCCGAUGUCGGAUUAGCUAGUUGGUGAGGUAAAGGCUCACCAAGGCGACGAUCCGUAGCGGGUCUGAGAGGAUGAUCCGCCACACUGGGACUGAGACACGGCCCAGACUCCUACGGGAGGCAGCAGUGGGGAAUUUUGGACAAUGGGCGCAAGCCUGAUCCAGCCAUGCCGCGUGAGUGAAGAAGGCCUCGGGUUGGUUAAAG